UCAAAUGUAUGUUGACGUAUCUGAAAGGGAUACUCUUCGGACAAUAUACAAGGUGCUGCAUGGUUGUCGUCAGCUCGUGCCGUGAGGUGUCGGGUUAAGUCCAUAACGAGCGCAACCCCUAUCAUUAGUUGCCAUCAGGUCAAGCUGGGGACUCUAAUGAAACUGCCUACGCAAGUAGUGAGGAAGGUGGGGAUGACGUCAAAUCAGCACGGCCCUUACGUCCAGGGCUACACACGUGCUACAAUGGCCGGUACAAAGGGCAGCUACCUGGUGACAGGAUGCUAAUCUCAAAAAGCCGGUCUCAGUUCGGAUCGGAGUCUGCAACCCGACUCCGUGAAGUUGGAUUCGCUAGUAAUCGCGCAUCAGCCAUGGCGCGGUGAAUACGUUCCCGGGCCUU
This 397-nucleotide ribosomal RNA is filed under the name uncultured Sphingobacteriales bacterium. Its description in RNAcentral is "bacterial SSU rRNA". It matches the Rfam family "Bacterial small subunit ribosomal RNA", at positions 981 to 1382 of the family's 1533-position model. Lineage: Bacteria; Pseudomonadati; Bacteroidota; Sphingobacteriia; Sphingobacteriales. The record is from RNAcentral.